GACGAACGCUGGCGGCGUGCUUAACACAUGCCAGUCGAACGGAAAGGCCUGCUUUCCCUUGUGGAUUGCGGGUACUCGAGUGGCGAACGGGUGAGUAACACGUGAGUGAUCUGCCCCCAACUUGGGUAUAAGCCUGGGAAACUGGGUCUAAUUCCCGAUAGGACUGCAGGGUGGUGCCUGUGGUGGAAAACGAUUUUCUAGUGGUUGGGGAUGAGCUCGCGGCCUAUCAGCUUGUUGGUGGGGUAAUGGCCUACCAAGGCGGCGACGGGUAGCCGGCCUGGGAGGGUGGGCGGCCACAUUGGGACUGAGAUACGGCCCAGACUCCUACGGGAGGCAGCAGUGGGGAAGAUUGCACAAUGGGCAGAAGCCUGAUGCAGCGACGCCGCGUGGGGGAUGACGGCCUUCGGGUGGUAAACUCCUUUCGACCGCGAGGAAGCCACCUGGUUGGAAGGGUGGUGACGGUAGUGGUAGAAGAAGCACCGGCUAACUACGUG
Molecule: ribosomal RNA, 494 nt
Filed under: uncultured bacterium
Lineage: Bacteria
Description: partial 16S ribosomal RNA
Rfam family: Bacterial small subunit ribosomal RNA
Source: RNAcentral